RNAcentral lists this ribosomal RNA (507 nucleotides) under uncultured bacterium. Its description in RNAcentral is "bacterial SSU rRNA". It matches the Rfam family "Bacterial small subunit ribosomal RNA", at positions 218 to 717 of the family's 1533-position model. The record is from RNAcentral.
CCAUCAGAUGUGCCCAGAUGGGAUUAGCUAGUAGGUGAGGUAAUGGCUCACCUAGGCGACGAUCCCUAGCUGGUCUGAGAGGAUGACCAGCCACACUGGAACUGAGACACGGUCCAGACUCCUACGGGAGGCAGCAGUGGGGAAUAUUGCACAAUGGGCGCAAGCCUGAUGCAGCCAUGCCGCGUGUAUGAAGAAGGCCUUCGGGUUGUAAAGUACUUUCAGCGAGGAGGAAGGCAUUGUGGUUAAUAACCGCAGUGAUUGACGUUACUCGCAGAAGAAGCACCGGCUAACUCCGUGCCAGCAGCCGCGGUAAUACGGAGGGUGCAAGCGUUAAUCGGAAUUACUGGGCGUAAAGCGCACGCAGGCGGUCUGUCAAGUCGGAUGUGAAAUCCCCGGGCUCAACCUGGGAACUGCAUUCGAAACUGGCAGGCUAGAGUCUUGUAGAGGGGGGUAGAAUUCCAGGUGUAGCGGUGAAAUGCGUAGAGAUCUGGAGGAAUACCGGUGGCG